ACUCCUACGAGAGGCAGCAGUGGGGAAUAUUGCACAAUGGGGGAAACCCUGAUGCAGCCAUGCCGCGUGUGUGAAGAAGGCCUUCGGGUUGUAAAGCACUUUCAGUAGGGAGGAAGGUAGUGUAGUUAACACCUGCAUUAUUUGACGUUACCUACAGAAGAAGCACCGGCUAACUCCGUGCCAGCAGCCGCGGUAAUACGGAGGGUGCGAGCGUUAAUCGGAAUUACUGGGCGUAAAGCGCAUGCAGGCGGCCUGUUAAGUCAGAUGUGAAAGCCCGGGGCUUAACCUCGGAAUUGCAUUUGAAACUGGCAGGCUAGAGUCUUGUAGAGGGGGGUAGAAUUUCAGGUGUAGCGGUGAAAUGCGUAGAGAUCUGAAGGAAUACCAGUGGCGAAGGCGGCCCCCUGGACAAAGACUGACGCUCAGAUGCGAAAGCGUGGGGAGCAAACAGGAUUAGAUACCCUGGUAGCACAGAG
RNAcentral lists this ribosomal RNA (473 nucleotides) under uncultured bacterium. RNAcentral's name for it is "bacterial SSU rRNA". It matches the Rfam family "Bacterial small subunit ribosomal RNA", at positions 335 to 799 of the family's 1533-position model. The record is from RNAcentral.